AUAGUAAUUGCUACAUAAGCAUUUUGCUGUUGGUAUUUGAGGGGUCUUAGAGCAGGCAGGCAAAGACCGGGUGGACAUUCCCGGCUGGGUUGAAGGCAGGAGGAGGGGUGGGCAUCAAGGGUAGCAUGACAGGUGUGCUUGGAGGGUGUGUGAGCAGCUCGGAGUCAGGAAGAGGGGGCUCCAGCUCUGCCCACUUUCUGGGCAAGGGGAGUCCAGAAACUGGAGGCCACUUCUGCAGCCUGGCUGCGGGGUGUGCAGAGGGUGUCGCUGGUGUGGCUUAGGGGGUGUUGGGUGUUUCCGGGCUAGCUGAGAGGCUUGGCAGAUCAAAGACGGUAGAAGGCAAGGCCUCUCUACCAGGCUCUGGCUUUCCCUUCUGCAGGACCCCCAGCAGGAAGUGUUUGAUGAGUGACUGAUCCGGGGUAGUGGGACCCGAGAGGCGGUGCCUUCUCCCGGACCUGCAUCCACCUGCGGCGGCCGCCAGGGGGCGGGGCCCGACCGGCUUUGGGAAGCUUCUCCUCCCCUGCCCCGGGCGGGGCGCCCCUGAAGGCGGCGGGGCUCAGAUGUGGCGUCGCCGCCCGCGUCGCGUCCCGUCCGGUCCGGGCGGCCCCGAGCCGCCUCCCUGCCCAGACACGCCGACCCGCGGGCGGGCGGACACCAGUUGUCGGCGCCACGAGAACAGAGGUUUCGGAGCCCCUCCCCGGUACUGGCGCCACACGGGGUCCUGUCCCCGUCGGGCGCCGUGGGGGUGGGCGUGGAACGGUGCGGGAGACACAGAUCCCGAGUUCCUGAGUUUCUGGGCCCAGGGGACCCCCCCUGCCCGCAGCGGCAUGACACACCUGCUCUGAUGGUGGGUGGCUAGGGCCCUGGGCCCCCCCUCUCCGGUGGCCUCCCCCCUGUCCUGCUGGAGGCAGCCAGAGCUGUGCUGGAGUCCCGGCUCUGGCCUCAGUUUGCUCAUCUGUAAACGAGAGCGAUGACCCUACCUCCCAGCACUGUCGUGAGCGCUGACCAUAGGAGAGGCUCAUGGACAGUGGCCCGGGACAGUGCUAAAGAACGUCCCUGCCCACCUCCCCAGUCAGACUGGCAAGACUCCCCAGGGAGGGGCCUCGUGGUCGCCUGCACCCCAUCCCAUCCCAGAGGGGCCGGCUCUGGCAGUGUGGGGUGGCGGAAGCAGGGAGAGCACAGAUCCCAUUGCCAGUUGACAGAUGGGUAAACUGAGGCUCAACUUCCCCCCAUGAGUUAGUGACAGAAACAGGAGCAGACCCAGAGCCCCUAAUUCCCAGUCUAGCGCUUUUUUUCCAUUUUCUUAUCUCCACAUUUUUUGGGGUUUACAACUGCAGGGCCGCAGUGGUGGAGAGGGUAUGGGUCUCAGAAUAUGUUCAGGAUUCCCCUUUCCACACCCAGGCCUGUUUGUGGUCACACCAGUGACCGCUUCAUUCUGGCAUGCUCUAGGCCCCUGGAGUUCCAGAAGGGAGCCUGUCUGGGCACUGAUACUCCUGUCAGCCCUAAGGCUGGGCCCUGCGAAGAAACCUCCUGAAGCCUGCUCCUCCCAAUAGAAGAUCAGCUGACUUGGGGGUGUGCACCCCCUCUUUCUCUUUCUACCCGACCAGUUAGGCAGUCCCAGGACACAGAGCAAAGCUCUGAGUGGGAGAUUUGCUAGAGCCCCGGCUGUCUCCAAAGAGGGUGGCAAGGCGUCAGGAGGCCCAGCUCCACGGCGGGCCUAGGGCAAGGCCCCUCCUCUCUCUGGGCCUCAGUCUCUCCAUCUGUGAAAUAAGGUGGUUGGCUACACUUCUGCGGCUGGGUGUCACCCCUGGGAUACCUGUGCUACUGUCAUACAACCCUACACCUGAGGUGUGAGGUGGCCCUGACCUGUUCUGAAGGGACCUGGAAGGGGAAGGGCCUGGGUGGGUUGCACCCGCUACCUUCGGGCCAGUUUACCAAAGAAAGGGGCUCUUCCUGUCUGCAGUAUGGCAGUAUGUACGCCACUGUCACUGUAUGGAGUGUGGCAGUGGUUCCUGCCAGGUUCUCCCUCCCCACCUGGGGGUGAAGACAGGCAAGGGGAAGAGUCCCAGUCAUCCCUUUGGGGCCUGAUAGUUCGGGGGCUUGGCGAUGGAAAGGCACACUUUCAAGGGGUGACCUGCUGUGUGGUCUGCAGAGCCCGCCUAUGAGCCCAGCUUGUUCUCUGCUCUGGACCCAAGUGACAGAGCUCCUCUCCCUACCGGCCCUGGGCACUAGGGUGGCCAUGGGAGUGGCCUGGGGGGCAGGGUUUUGUGAGGGGACUUAGAGUCCUUGGGAAAGGAGCUCACAGGGAUACUGGCCAGCUUCCUUUUCCUUAGGAGGCCAAGGGGGGGCAUGUGUGUGUGUGUGGGGCAGGGCCUGCCACCUCUCACCCCACCAGGGGUAUAGUCUCAGCAGCCUUGGGCUUGUGAGGAGAUGGAGAGGGGGUGUCAGGCAAGCUGGAGAGCCCCAAGGGGGACCCCAGGCUCCCUCUGUGUCAGGGAGGGCCCCUGCAGCACCCCUAACUCACUGUGGGCAGGGCAAAGCCUAUGGCGGGUUGGAGGGUGACUGGCUCCCUAAAGCCUCCAUUUUGUACCCCAACUGUCUGUGGCCAAGAGGAAGAGGGAAGGCAGCAGGAAUGCAGGAAUGAAUCCUGGGCAGGCCCUGUCCCAACAGGCUGGGGUGGGAGGGCCAGGCUCCCGUGUGGGCCCACGCCCUCCUCAGCACAGCUCGUAGCUAGGCAGCCCGCACAAACAGCAGGAACACAGAGCAGCCCCGCAUGUGUGCACGCGUAUGUGCCUGUGCUGGGGGCCUCCUUGCCUCAAUCCCUAGAUGGGAACCCUUCUGGUUACCCUAUAGUCACCGUCCCAUGCAGGCCUGAGGAUGGGGGUCUGUCUGCUGCCACUGCUGAGCGCUUACUAUGUGUCGGGCCUGAUCCAUUCAUUAGCUCCUUUAACCCUUACAACCCGAUAGACAGGCACCCUUAUUACCCACUUUAUGGACAGAGAUACUGAGGCUUUGAAAAGCUGCACACACAAAAGAUCACAGAGCAAGAGAGUGGGGAGCCAAGCCAGAGUGCAAACUGAGGCCUUUCUGUCUCCAGAGUCUGGUUCUCCUCCAGGCAUGUGUAGACGUGUGUGCACAUGAGUAUCGACUGAGGGCUGUGUGUGUACCCAAGUGUGCAGUUGUGGGCUUCGAUGGCAGACCUGUAUCAGUCUGUGUUUAUCUAAGGACGCCUGCCUGUAGGUGUGGAUACCUGGGCCCAGGCAUGGAGGCGUGCAUGCAGACGUGUGUGAGCAUGUGACUCACAUAAGUACCCACGGGCAUAUCUGUGCAUAUGUGUUCACACAUACGGCACUUGAGUGCACACGUGCACAUGCUGUGUACAUGCGUUCACGUGUGCACACCGCUGUGAGCCUGUGCGUAUGUCGUCCGCUCCAAAGGCUGACCUUGCCCUGCUGCUCACCCACCUCCUGUCCCUUUCUCAAGCUCCUGACUCAGUGCCAAGAUGGGCUGUGUGAUGGCCUUGUUGACGGCGCUGGGACUUCUGAGGAUUUGGAAGGAAAGCCGUUUUGGGGAGGGAUAUGAUUGGCAAGGGGUUGGACAAGAGGAAGACGCAGGGGAUAAGAGGGAUUAAGCCUGGGGGUGGGGGUCAGCCUGGGUUUUCUUCAGUCCCAGGCAGGGGCAGAGGACCCUCUGCGGUCUGGGAGCCUCGGUCCUGUCCCACCCCCUGGCGUUCUCUAUCCACCUCUGUCAAGGCUCAGACCCCCAAUACCCCGGAAAAUGCUCCCGGGAGCCUGCAGGAGAGUCCUAGGGCCGGGAGGAUGCAUCUGUGAGGUCUGUGCCCUGUCCCCUUACUGUGUGUGGCAGGCAAUCCCCCCUCAAUCCAAGAUGGGACUCCCCUGUGGUUCCUGGGUGUCGGGGAACUUCCCAUUGCACCGCCCCUUUGCACCGACGCCCUCGGGCUCCUGCUGGCCGUGGACGUGCAGGCGGAGCAGCGGUCGGCUGGGGGCGCUCGGGGCCCGCGGAUGGAGAUGCGAGACAGGUCCGCCAGGAUGGGAACCGGCCGGGCGGGGGUGAAACACAGAUCCCAGCUGAUACAUUAAAGAAGGGAAAAUCAACAGACAAAGCAGGUUGCGCUAAAUGCUCUGAAGAACACAGGACAGGAUCUACGAGACAGGUACUCUGUCUCCCAGAGCUUGCCCAAGACCACACAGCCUGAACCAGGAUUUGCUCUGCUGGCCGCUUCUCAAUUCCUCUGACUGCAGCCUCCAAGGAGGGCGUGUUGCCCAGGGAACUGAGAUGAAGAAACAACUCCAGCGUUGCCCGAGGUCCCACGGGGAUCAGUCACGUGGUCGGCCACAACAGAGGAUUCCCCAUGACAGGGGACCACGAGUUGGAUCCUGGCCAGAAGCCAGAAGCCCCUUGAGGGCAAGGACCCCAUUUUACCCCACUCCUCCCUGCUGUACCUAGCACAGGGCACAGCAUAUAGCGGGUGCUCAAAAAGUCCUUCACGAGUAAAUCUUGCAUCCCUCGGUAGCUGCAG
This is a long non-coding RNA of Aethalodelphis obliquidens (Pacific white-sided dolphin), 4540 nucleotides long. RefSeq lists it as uncharacterized. The record is from RefSeq and is a predicted model, not a curated record. Lineage: Eukaryota; Metazoa; Chordata; Mammalia; Artiodactyla; Delphinidae. The transcript has 4 exons.